AUGGCAGGUGAGACCCUUCAGGAAUUUUUGAAGGGAACCUUCGGUAUCCUGGAUGAAGAAGAUGAGAUGAGCAUUAGGUGGAGGGGCCAGUGUUCUUCUGUCACAGCUGCAGAGGGGGAAGGGGAAGGAGAUGGGGGUCAGAGAAAAAUCACUGGCAGGUUUUUGUGCGGGUCUGCUUCACAGUGUUAUGUGUUCGGUGCUGGGACCAAGCUGACCGUCACAGGUCAGCCCAAGGCAUCCCCCAUGGUCAUGGCCUAUGGUCCAUCCCAAGAUGAGCUGAUAACCCCCACAGCCACACUCACGUGCCUCAUCAGUGGCUUCUACCCAGAGUCCCUGGAUGUGGCCUGGACCAAGAAUGGCUCCCCUGUGUCCAGUGGGGUGCACACCAGCAGGCCAGUCCGCCAGACUGACAACAAGUACUCAGCCAGCAGUUACCUCUCAGUCAACCCCAAUCAAUGGAGGGGAAAUGCCGUAUAUAUCUGCAAGGUGACCCAUGAGGGCCAGGUCAUACAGAAGGAGCUGUCUGCCAGCCAGUGCACAUAGAGGCCCUCGCCCUCCAGGACCCCUCACUCCAUCCCCACACAUGGGCAGCCCCAGCUCAUCAAACACUCUCCCAUGCUUCUAAUAAACUCUUUUCCUUUCUCAUUCAA
Non-coding RNA from Monodelphis domestica (gray short-tailed opossum), 650 nucleotides. The record is from the annotation of a RefSeq genome assembly. Lineage: Eukaryota; Metazoa; Chordata; Mammalia; Didelphimorphia; Didelphidae.